Non-coding RNA from Mycena epipterygia, 111 nucleotides. The record is from the annotation of a GenBank genome assembly. NCBI's taxonomy places the organism in Eukaryota, Fungi, Basidiomycota, Agaricomycetes, Agaricales, Mycenaceae.
GACACUUUGGCCGAGUGGUUAAGGCGACACCCUGCUAUAUGACUAAAGUUUGGUUAGUCUGCAUCCAGGUGUUGGAGUUUCUCCGCGUGUGUUCGAAUCGCACAGGUGUCG